CGGGACGGGUGAGUAACGCGUGGGUAACCUGCCUCACACUGGGGGAUAACAGUUAGAAAUAGCUGCUAAUACCGCAUAAGCGCACAGUUCCGCAUGGAACAGUGUGAAAAACUCCGGUGGUGUGAGAUGGACCCGCGUCUGAUUAGCCAGUUGGCGGGUAACGGCCCACCAAAGCGACGAUCAGUAGCCGGCCUGAGAGGGUGACCGGCCACAUUGGGACUGAGACACGGCCCAG
This 235-nucleotide ribosomal RNA is filed under the name uncultured bacterium. RNAcentral describes it as "partial 16S ribosomal RNA". It matches the Rfam family "Bacterial small subunit ribosomal RNA", at positions 100 to 334 of the family's 1533-position model. The record is from RNAcentral.